RNAcentral lists this long non-coding RNA (8978 nucleotides) under Homo sapiens (human). RNAcentral's name for it is "HSALNT0146159". The record is from RNAcentral. Lineage: Eukaryota; Metazoa; Chordata; Mammalia; Primates; Hominidae.
AAGAGUGUUAGUAGCAUCCCCAAAUAAAGAUUACUUGUCUCAGGCCAUCACCAGAGCGGAGGAAGGCUACUAUAGGCAUUGCUUGGUAACUGUGUUUUCAUCACUUCAGAGGGAAAGGAUGAAGACCUCCCUUGUCAGGCUAAGGUAUAUUAAAAACAGCCAAUAUGCAUUCUUGUUUAAAACUAUGUGAGCAGCAAGAGUCCUGCUUCUCAAGCUUUAAUGUGCAAAUAAAUCAUCAAGGUAAAAUACAGAUUCUGACUCACUAGGUCUUGGGGGUGCUGAGGCUGCUGGUAUGGAAACUACACUUUGAGUAGUAGGUGCUGGGGAUCCUGUCUCAGCUUCAUUUCAUCUUCUUGCUGCCCCUUGAUACCUUGGAAUCAAUAGUUAAGACUUAUUGAGCAUUUAUAAUGUGCAAAGUUCUUUAUAAACAUUUCCCCAGUUUGCUGAUGAGGAACUUGAGGCCUCUUCUGGUUCCUGGUUAAGUUACCUGGCUUAGGUCACGUGGCAGGCAAAUAGCGGGGCUGGAAUUCAAAUCCGGGAAGCCUGAUUUUAUUAAUAGAUCACAUGACCCAGAACACCACCCUAUAUUGCCUCCCAAAGGCAAGACAGAUUCAAGAAAACACAUAAAAGUGUUGUGUCAGGGCCCCUGAACACUCUGUUUGCAAAGGCUGCUUGUUGCCAAUAGCCACUAAUCCCCCACCACAAACAACACACAAGCAGCUGUAGCCAUCAAACUGUGGGUUAGAGUGCAAAAAGGAUAUUCCCAUUUCUGUUUCUGCCCAUCCUGAAAGCAAUUCAGCAUUGAAGAGAGAAGUUUUCCAGCUCUGAAAAUUACUUCAGGCAAGAAAUUAACUGAAUUAUUUGGUUUAGAAAGCAAACAGCUGGUAGGAAAUGUGCUUUUUCCCAAAUAAAGAUUUCAGAUACUUGCUAGAGGCAUAUUGAUCCACUGCUAGGAAAAGAAGGAAGGCAAGGAAGGGUUAUUCGUGAGCAAUUAGUUAUAUGCAUCCUUUACCACAAGCAAGAAUGAUGUUCUGGGCUGAAAGGCCACCAGUUGUCAAUAAUGCACCAAGGGGAGGUUUACCGGGCAGAUCUGCAACCACUGAGCUGCUUUGUAAAUCUGCGUUGGAGUCAUUCAUGGUUGCAUUAUGGCCAUGGUGCUGCUCCUCAUGCAGGCUUGCUCUCAUAGAAAAGGGGGAACCGGUAUUACCCACACACUGUGAAUUCACGUAUAAGUAGUGCUAGAGUAAUGUUGAGAUCCUGACAAAUGACAUUAUUGCUUGGUGGCUGGAACAUGGGAAGAGGUGUUGGCUCACCAUUCAUCUCUUGGGCAGUAUUUCCAGGGUCAAGGCACGGAGGAUAAGCUAAUCAAUGAAAUCAGGGUAAAUGAGCUUUCACAGGGACACUGAAAAGAAUGAGAAGCCCCAUGUGAAUGUGUAGACUAUCAUUAUCCAGCAGCCCUGAUAAGAGGAUAAUGAAACAAUCCCUUCUCAACUGGAUCGGGUGGCUGUCAGACUAAAAUGACACCACCCGUACAUCCUUGACAUGCUACCACAAGCUAAUUGACAGCAAACAUUGGCAACUGUCUCCCAUGCACCAAGACAAAGGAAACAUAUUCAUGUCACCUGAUGGGAGAGCUACCUGGCAACGGAUAAACAAAUGUGUUAGGGAGAUGUUCUAUUAAGGUAAGUGAGGGCACGGCUCUGUAGAACAUGCCUAUUAACUUUGAGCUUAAGCGUGCUGCUAUUCUCUAGGGAACAGAAAUAAAUAAAGCAAAAUGAGAAUUUAUUGAUGUCUGGACAGCUACAUGAAUAUUCAGGUUCUCUUACAAACAGAUAUUCCCCCAUGAGCUCCAAACUUCUGCGUAGGCUGCUCAAUUACAUUUCCACAUCAUGCAGCUGGAUUUAUAGCCAGGGAAGAGGUGUUAGUGUGUGGAAGAGGAUACAGGUUUAUAUGCUUCUCUGGAGUACCCUGCAAUACAACUAGAAGAUAAUGGCUGAUGCCAUCCACAUAAAUGUCAAAAGGUACCAUCAAGCAUUCCUAAAUACCAGGUCUAAUUAACUUCAUGUUAGGAAAAGCUCUGGAAACAUCUGCAUUUCAGAACAAAGACAUUUUGUUACCAGUAGAAUGGCAUCAUCUGGCAGCUCUAUCAACUUCUCUGGGAUGAACCUUUCACACAGCCCUCUUAGAUCUUUCCAAGCAAUGCAUGACACAGCUAACCUCAAAUCUCCUACCUUUUCUGUCUUUUCUCCACCUCCCAACCUACCUGCUACUCACCUUCGAAGGAUUCAUGACACAGAAAGUCAGUAAAAUAGCUGGAACAAGCAAACUAUUCAGACUACCCUGUGGGAAAUCUGUCAUUUCCUCCUGGUCUGUGUGUUAUGUUAACCCUCAUUGGGGCAGAGUGGGAAGGCAGAAAAAAAGGAGAAAGACGGGGUAGACGUGGCCAAUCACUCCUGGAAGUUCUUACAGAAAGAUCCCUCACCUUUUUUUGGAAAUAAAAGUUUUACUUGGCCACAAAAAACAAAGCUGCAGUAAAAAAUACUGGGUUCCCAAUCUCCUCAUUACUCAUGCCUCAACUAUCUCCUACCUGUACCAUGUUGACCACAAAAGAUAUUUCCUCCCUUUCAGAGCAUGCUGAGACAAUCCCACCCACUCUACUUUCACGUGACUUCUAAAAUCACUUCACAGUGAAGGCUUCUUGGAAACAGAUUUUUAGCAUAGACAGCCAAUCUGAUUUUUAAUGCACUAUUAUUCUAGCCAAAGUCAAGGGAUGACCUAUCAAUCAACUCUGAACUCUCUCAAAGAGCCUCUCCCUUUCCUAGAUGUGUAAAAUGAAGUAACAACAGCCCUUCUGGAGAAUUACGCUAUAGCGAGGAGCUCACAGCUUCUUCGAUUAUCAUGAGCCCUGGGCGAAACUGCAUCGACAAUGAAGCUGGUUUUGUUAUGACUCCAGAGAACCCCCUUUCCUCCUUUAUUCACACUCUGACCACAAUCUUCCAUUUGGCCAUCAGGCGCUUCAGGUUACCUCCUAGCUUACUUUACUCUCAAGAUAGAUGCUAGAAGGUACUCACGUGCUGUCAUGAGUUUAUGCCCAUAUACAACAUUUUUUCAAAUAAUUUUUAUGUAAAGGCUUUUAUCUGUAUCUGGAAUGGAGGGUUCAGCCUUCAGUUAUAUCCAUUUCAAACAUCCUUGUUGCUGCUAGAAAAUAUAUUUUGAGGAAGCAUGUGACAUCCCUGUUAGAAUGUGACUAGAUGGGUCCCUAAAGUUCAAUAUUUCAAUUAUUUGCUUUACUUUAGGCUUUAAUUUAUGUGUCUAGGAGAGGCUUAGAUUUUCGAAAACAUAACCCUUGAUAUUCAAGAAUUUGAGAUACUUUCCUUUCUAGGAAAAAAAAUCUUGGGCAGAAUAAAACCAGGACUGCCCCUGCCUCUGAUCUCUUUGCCAGCCUUUAGCACCUCAUAACUAGAAUGGAGCCCCACCUGUCCUGAGGCAGUUUCUUCCUAAGUGAGAGCCACGUUAGUCAGUGCUCCCACAAUGGCCCAGGCUGCUUCUGCAGGUGUCUUCUUGCAAUUUGUUGCCUUUAACCAGUAAUAGUUCCAUUUGAGGGCCACUACUUUUGGGGUUCCAUAGAGUGCCCUGGGAGACCUAUGAGUAUUGGAUAGUACAUGAGUUCUGGAUGCCUUCAAUGGAAACAGCUUUGCCAUUAUCUGUUUUAAAUAUUGGGCCUUAAAAAGUCUCCAAAAACCCAUGGACUAGAAGACUACUAAAGUAUUUGCUAAAUCUAAAAUAUUAUGGGGAUCAAUAAAAUGAUAAAAUCUGCAUGUAUUACAUGAUCCUAAACUGUCUUAUAAUACAUUCUCCUCUUUAAUUCAUUUCAAUUAAUCCACUUUAUGGAUGCCUUGAUUUCACUCAGUCAUUUUGAUGAAUGUCUCAGAUGUAAGUAUAAAACAGGGCUUGGCAAACCUUUGUUGCAAAGGAGCAGACAGAAAAUAUUUUAGGCUUUGCAGGCAAAGAGGCAAUGUUCACAUUCUUCAGGCAACUGUUCUCACCUAAAGGCUAAUAACUUUUAAAAAAUUUUUUACAUUAAAAAAUCUUAAAACCAUCCUUAGUUCUCAGGCCAUGCAAAAUCACGGGGCAGGCCAGAUUUGGCCUAUGGGCCAUAGUUUGCUGAUUCUCAGUGUAAUAACUGUUGCAUGCUAACUACUAAGAACCAUCAUGAAAAGACUAGGGAACUGUUUUUGAAAUAUGAAAACUAAAUUUGAGGUAAGCAACAGUCAAGAACAGUUUUUUUAGACACCUGAGAGUAUAUUUUGAGAUAAAUGACAUGGCCUGGAAGAGCCUAUUUACAAAAUGACAUCAGGACCAGGGCUACAUCCCAGCAAUACCAAAACAAGGAAUAUGUAAAAUUGCAUUGGCCGAGGCCAUCAAUCCCAUUUCUCCUUUCUUCCACCUGCCUCACUCUCACAAAUUCACUGUUCAUUAAAUUCAGUUUACAAGCAGGCAAUGGCACUCUGUACAACCAGUAUAAGGAUACUUCUACUCUUCAUGGAAACAACAACAACAACAAAAGUCUAAUUUGCAGAUCAGAAAAUGGGCCUUAGAAUACAGAAGCUCCAGCCCUCCGCUUGACUUAAAUUCUUCUUGGAAGGAACGCUUUAUGUCAGCACAUCCAUUACUGACUACCAAGUAGUAGCACCCAGCAUAAAAGACAUGGAUAGAAGGGGUUCUAUUCACUGCCACAGACAUUGACUUUGUUCACAAUUAAUAAUCCAACAUUUUAAGCAAGAAGGAAAGAAAAAAAGAGAAAAGAACAUGAGCAUCUGCCAAUUGCCGGGGAGUGUACUAAACUCUUUUAUGUUAUCUCAUUUAGUUCUCAUAGCAGUCCUAUGGAGUCAGUAUUAUUAUUAUUAUAGAAAAGGAAAAGUAACCUCCCCAAACUGAACAUCUAGGGACUGGAGAUCCAGAACUGGAGUUUAGAUUUAGCUCCACGUUCUUUCUGGCAUAGCACGCUGUCUCUAAAAAACAAAACAAACCAAACAACAACAACAACACAACAACAACAAACCCACCAACAACACUACUUUUGAAUGACCAAACCCUAGUAACCAUCAAAACACAAUUUUGACAUUGUGAGUUUGGGGGCAUUGCCACCCCAGUGAUGGCUUUGUAAUUCCAAUUUGCUUUUCUUUAGAGAGCUACAGUAGAUUUCCUUAAUUAAAAAAUGCCAUGUGAACUACUGGCAAAGUAGUGGAAUACAAAAUGUAAAGAAACAUAUUUCAGUUUUCUUUUAUUCUACUGAGUGAUGUUGAUUGUAUUCCCAAACUUUUAGGCUUCCACUUUUCCUUCCUUCCUCAAAAAAAAAAAAAAAGAAGAAGAAGAAAGUAGGAGGAAGAGGAGGAGGAGGAAAAGGUAGGUAAUUGGUAAUCUGUGGCAUCUGUUCUCUAAUUUUCAGAACUAUAGCAUGUAUUUUUAUAGUAUUUAGAUAAAAGCAACAAUAGUUACAACUAUUAGGUGCUGAACACUUACUAUGUUUAAAGAACUCUUUAUGUCAUUUAAUCCAGCAGUUGAUCGCACUAAGAGGAAAAUUCGGGUUACAGGAAGAAGUGUCAUUUCCAUUUAUAAAUGUUACAUUUGAGCAUAGAUUGGCUAAAGCGAUGAUCACAGGGAUUGUACAAAACGUGGUCAGUAACGUAAUUUAAGAAAAAAGAGCCGCUGCCAUGGUUCAUGCUUGUAAUCUCAGAACUUUGGGAGACCAAGGCAGGAGGAUCACUUGAGUCCAGGAGUUUGACGUAAGCCUGGGCAAGACCUUGUCUCUACACAAAAUAAUUUUAAAAAUAAAUUAGCCAGGUGUGGUGGCACAUACCUGAAGUCUCAGCUACUCAGAAGGCUGAGGCAGGAGGAUGACUUGAGCCCAGGGGUUCAAGGUUACAGUGAGCUAUGAUCAUGCCACUGCACUCUAGCGUGAGUGGCAAAGCAAGAUCCUGUCUCAAAAGAAAAGACACAAAAUAUUGUCCAUUCUUGCUUUUUGUAUAGCUAUGACUCCGAACUGCCUUAGUCCUCCAGAACUAUGAAUCCUAGAUCAUUACUUUCCCAACUGCAAAAUCUUGUAGGGUAGCUGAUGCAUCGCAUCUUUCAUGAAGUACAUCCACUUCUCAGAAAUGCUUCAUAGGCAUCCCUGUGAACCAGCCUGAGGAGCAAAUUCCUAUGCACGUUGAUGAGACUUUAUCACAUUUUCUUUUUAAUCGUGAAGAGUUCCCCUUUCUGCAGCCACUCACUCCUAGAAGGUAGAAAAAAGGACUUUCUCUACGUCCCCAAGGAAAAGGUUCCAGUGAAGCUUACAGACCCCUCACUUCUUAAGGUAGGACUAGGUGUUAGUAGAAACGCCAGGGUAAGACUCAACUCUGAAAUCCAGGGCUGAUGGGUAGUGAGAGUAGAAGCAGGACAUGAGCAGCUAAGUUCACUAGAGAGAACGGGACUGGAGUCUCAGGAGCAAACCCAGGUCACAGCUAGAAAUAGGGAGUUCUAGAAGCAAGGCAAAAAAAAAGCAGCCUGGAAAUUUAGGUAGAAAAACUAAGACUCCAAUAAGACUCCAAGAAGGCAGCUGCAACUUCUGAUGAAUCAAUGCCUGCUGUAAAGGCAGUGUUAAUGGUUUGAGUCACGGCCGGGGCACCUGAGCAGGGCAGAUCAGCCCAUGACAAUAUUGAGGAAGACAGCAUAAAAGCCAGUAUUCUGGGACAGUGCUGAUAGCUGCGUGGAAUGAAUAAAUUCCACAAUACCCUCUAUUCAGUGCCUGCAAUAUGCUCUCUUAUUACUGUAAAAUAUGGCAAGUAAUAUCCAAGUUAUAAUUCAUUAAUGUCCCUUAAUUUAGAGUCUUUGCUAUUCUUAAGAUUUUCAGUACCCAUACAAGUAUAAAAAAGAUGAAAUUUCACUGUGGCUACAAACACCCUGAAUAGGAACAGUUUUUUUUUUCUUUACUCUUCACAGGAAAGAGACAUAACCACCUAUGUUUUUCUUUCCUUGGAAGGCAAAUUCAGUUGAAGCAGAAAGUCAGAACUUUAGACUCAGCAGUCUGGUCUAUAACCUCUUAACCAUAAAAAGUAUUAGCUUCUCAUUUCAGAAAUUUUAUCCUGAAUUCUCUGUUUUGCCACCUUCUUAAGACCUGCUUCAGGUACACCUCAGAGUAUAAUAGACUCAGCCUUCUCUUCUCAUGUGCCAGUUGAUCACUGGUGAAAUUAUACACAUCUAACUUUUAUUUUAAGUUCAGGGUCACAUGUACAGGUUUGUUAUAUAGAUAAGCUUGUGUCAUGGGGGUUUGUUGUACACAUUGUUUCACUGCCCAGGUAUUAAGUCUACUUGUUUUUCCUGAUCCUCUCCCUCCUCCCACCCUCUACCUUCCGAUAGGAGAAAUAAUAAUACAAAAAUAACCAAUACUUUUCCCAAUAAGGAUAAAGCCGCAAUUGCCCAGCCUCGCUACUUGCCUCUCCUCCUCAAUGAGGUACGGAAUUGUUUUUGCUCACCUACAAAAAUAUUUUUACGGCAAAACUUGCACAUAUUGUAAAACUGGGUAAUUCAGCUUAAUCUUGCAUGAAAAACUAACAUGAAUACAAGGGACUAAGUGGAUAUGAAAAACUGAAGCACCAAAUUAAGCAGCCUGCAAACAUCUAAAGGCAUUAACAUUAACUGCAAACAUGCAGAUGAGCCCUGUGCUGGCUGGGAAUCAGAGUCUUCAUUUUCUUCAGCUGAGUGGUUAUAAGAUCUCAUUCUUAAUCAAAAUAUGAGCAGUGUCAUUAUAACGCUGCUGUGGGGUGACAAGCAAAAUAUCCACCUAUAGGUUUUAUGUAGUGAGAAACAGAACUAGAUACUACAGUGCAAUUCUAAUUCUAACUCCUCCCAGUCAAAAUUCAGGUCAUGUUUUCCCAGAAGUCAUAUGCCUACAUUUUAUGAUCCAGAGCAAUGGUUUUCAAAGGCUGAAAAACAUUUGACCAGCAGCAGCACCUGGACCAGCAGCACCUGGUGGUGUCACCUGGGAACUUGUUAGAACUGUCUGGCACAAAUUCAGAUUCUUGGGACUCACUCAGACCUUCUGAAUCAGAAACGCUGGGGGUAGGGCCCAGCAAACUGUAUUUUCACAAGAUUUCCAGGUGAUUUGAUGCAUACUGAAGGACUGGCUCAGGACUAGAGGUGGGGGCUCAAUUAACAGCUUAAAAUGACCAGUGCCUACAACAGAGAAGUAUGAAGCUUGCUCCUGACCUCACUGCAUUCUCCAAUCUAACUCGGUGGACCAUCACAGAUGCAAGAGAGGUUACAAAAACUGCAAGGUUUUGAUAGCAGUUCAAAGGAAUGCUUCACACAGACUUUGCCAAAUGUUUACCUUUAAAUCCCUUUUGUGCCCCCAAGUUUCCACCUCCUUCUGACCAAUUCCAAAAUUGUUCUGCUGCUUUUUCACCUUUGUGAAUUCCAAACAAAGCAGUGCUUUUGAAGUUAAUGCAAGUAAUAACUAUGCAUUUUUAUAAUGCUCUAUGUCUUUUUAAAGACUUUCAUAUAGUUACGUUGUUUAAUCUUCACAACUCUCCUAUUAAGUUUAACCUACUGGGAAAUGUGUGUGGUAGUUUAGAACCCUCUAAUAAAUCUCUAACUUAAUAACCAUUUUCUGAGAACAGACUAUAUGAAGCACUUUUACAGAAAAUUAUUUCUAACACAACUCUGCAAGCUGUCCCACGACAGCAAAUAUACUCAAUUUAAGAAUGUAGAAAACAUAUUAAAACAUGUACCAUAAAAUUACAUUAAAAUGAAAUAGUAACUAUUUCACAAAUUUCUGUUAAAUCCUGUAUAGAUUUUUAUAUGGUGCUAUUUCUUACAAAAAGUAAUGAUAUUGUAAGAGAGAAGCCGUCACCUCCCAGUAAGGAGGGUAAAGUGAAGAGAAUAACACGUGACUUCAAAUAAUCCUGCUCCAAAAAAAGUAUUUUUCCUUCUACAUUUCC